AAGGCAGCAGGCGCGUAAAUUACCCAAUCCUGACACAGGCAGGUAGUGACAAAAAAUAACAAUGCCGGGCUUUUUCAAGUCUGGCAAUUGGAAUGAGAACAAUUUAAAUCCCUUAUCGAGGAUCAAUUGGAGGGCAAGUCUGGUGCCAGCAGCCGCGGUAAUUCCAGCUCCAAUAGCGUAUAUUAAAGUUGUUGCAGUUCAAAAGCUCGUAGUUGGAUUUCUGGUGGGGCUGUCGGCCUGGCUCCGAAAGGGGUCGUGGUUAGUACACGCCUGGCCAUCCUCGGGGGAAGCUUUGCUGGCAUUAAGUUGUCGGCGGAGUGACACUCGUCGUUUACUGUGAACAAAUUAGAGUGUUCAAAGCAGGCUUAGGCCGUUGAAUACAUUAGCAUGGAAUAAUGAGAUAGGACUUUGGUGGUCUAUUUUGUUGGUUUGCACGCCGAAAUAAUGAUUAAUAGGGGCGGUUGGGGGUAUUCGUAUUCAAUUGUCAGAGGUGAAAUUCUUGGAUUUAUGGAAGACGAACUACUGCGAAAGCAUUUACCAAGGAUGUUUUCAUUAAUCAAGAACGAAAGUUAGGGGAUCGAAGAAGAUUAGAUACCUUCGUAGUCUUUACCAUAAACUAUGCCGACUAGGGAUUGGCGGUCGCUU
This 645-nucleotide ribosomal RNA is filed under the name eukaryote marine clone NA37-4. Its description in RNAcentral is "SSU rRNA". It matches the Rfam family "Eukaryotic small subunit ribosomal RNA", at positions 422 to 1065 of the family's 1831-position model. The record is from RNAcentral.